GGGGGAAUAUUGCGCAAUGGGCGAAAGCCUGACGCAGCGACGCCGCGGGAGGGAUGAAGGUUUUCGGAUCGUAAACCCCUGUCAGAAGGGAAGAAACCGCACUGUGCUAAUCAGCAGUGCCUUGACGGUACCUUCAAAGGAAGCACCGGCUAACUCCGUGCCAGCAGCCGCGGUAAUACGGAGGGUGCAAGCGUUAAUCGGAAUUACUGGGCGUAAAGCGCACGUAGGCUGCUUUGUAAGUCAGGGGUGAAAUCCCACGGCUAAACCGUGGAACUGCCUUUGAUACUGCUUAGCUUGAAUCCGGGAGAGGGUGGCGGAAUUCCAGGUGUAGGAGUGAAAUCCGUAGAUAUCUAGAAGAACAUCAGUGGCGAAGGCGGCCACCUGGACCGGUAUUGACGCUGAGGUGCGAAAGCGUGGGGAGCAAACAGG
RNAcentral lists this ribosomal RNA (429 nucleotides) under Fusobacteriota bacterium. RNAcentral's name for it is "Fusobacteria bacterium partial 16S ribosomal RNA". It matches the Rfam family "Bacterial small subunit ribosomal RNA", at positions 355 to 776 of the family's 1533-position model. The record is from RNAcentral. Lineage: Bacteria; Fusobacteriati; Fusobacteriota.